Molecule: long non-coding RNA, 2273 nt
Organism: Eriocheir sinensis (Chinese mitten crab)
Lineage: Eukaryota; Metazoa; Arthropoda; Malacostraca; Decapoda; Varunidae
Exons: 3
Source: RefSeq, a predicted model, not a curated record
UAAAAUAGCGUUAUGGGUGUCAUUAAGAGCCAAGAACAGGCAUUUAUAUAUAGCGGUCAUAGGAGCAUACCUGUUGAAGUAUUACAUCAACUUUUAUCGGCUUCCGGUAACGACAUAUCCUGCCAGGUGAGAGGGAGGGAGCCGCUGCUUGCCGCCUCGCUGCUUGGAGGACUCGUGCUGGGCCAAAGGUCGGUAUUGUCUUAUGCCCCCCACCUCACACACCAAGUAUUUCCAAAGUCCAAAAAAGAGGUUAAUCGGGUUCUAAUAAGUGUUCUUUUAGGUUCACGGUACAGAGGAAGGCUCAGACUACCACCAGGGUCAUGAAACUACCCCCGGAAAUGCCCACAACUCCUACGAAAGCCUUGUCAAAUAUGUGUUUCUACAGGUUCAUGGUACAGAGGAAGGGUCACACUACCACCAGGGUCAUAAAACUACCCCCGGAAAUGCCCACAACUCCUACGAAAGCCUUGUCAAAUAUGUGUUUCUACAGGUUCAGGGUACAGAGGAAGGCUCAGACUACCACCAGGGUCAUAAAACUACCCACGGAAAUGCCCACAACUCCUACGAAAGCCUUGUCAAAUAUGUGUUUCUAGGUUCAGGGUACAGAAGAAGGCUCAAACUACCACCAGGUUCAUGAAACUACCCCCGGAAAUGCCCACAACUCCUACGAAAGCCUUGUCAAAUAUGUGUUUCUAGGUUCGCGGUGAUAUAAACCCCCAAAAUAGAUGAUACAUAAUCUGAUCACAAAUGCUUUGAUAUAUAUUAUGAAAUGGUUUGUGUGAGGGGUGAUUUUUUCUCAUUUUUCUCGCUUAGAGGGACCAUUAAGAAACACGAUCCUUAAUGCUAUUACCGGGUUAAACAGUAAUUAUUAUAUAUACAUCAUCGUUCUCCUCAAGGGCACAAAAAAAGAAAACAAUGAUAAGAAAAGCCCGCUACUCGCUGCCCCUAAAAAAUAAGACUCCAAAGAGGUGGCCGAAAGAGAGGUCAAUUUCGGGAGCGCGCCCUUUAAUCAAUUGUAAAUAUAUCAUCGUUUUCCUUUUAAUAAUCAAUAAGAAAGGAAUUAACGAAAGCCAGGUAACGAGAACCAUUUGAAAUUAAGUGAAAGCUUUAGAAAGGUCGAGUGUUUUAUAUAUAAGUGUGAACAGAUGCUUGACUAAAACUUAACACAUUCACUCCUCACGAACAAAGUAGAAGUAGUAGUAGUAGUAGUAGUAGUAGAACACAUUUACCUCAAUACACUUUUAAUAAAUACACAGACAGACAGGCAGACACAUCAACCAAUACGCGGAUACAUAAAGACAAACAGCAAAUCUAAUUCUACAUCUCCCCCAGUUACUUAAGGCUCCGUGGGAUGUCUCAGGGUUCUUGUAGGCACCCAGGAACAGCACAUUCUGGGAGGUUGUCGUAGAUAGAGUGAUAGAGAUAGAGAUAGACAGACUUACAGACAUAGGGAUACAUAUAUAACAACUAUUUUACAACCCCGUCAGUAUCUUAAGCACUGUGCGAUGUCCUAAGGCUCUUGUAGGCGCCCAGAAACAGCACAUUCUUGGGAGGUUGUCGUAGAGAUAGAUAUAGACAAACAGCACUUCUAUCCUACGACCCAGUCAGUAACUUAAGCACUCUGCGAUGUCCUAAGGAUCUUGUAUGCGUUCAGGAACAGCACAUUCUUGGGAGGUUGUCGUAGAGAGAUAGACAAACAGUACUUCUAUCCUACGACCCAGUCAGUAACUUAAGCACUGUGCGAUGUUUUGGGACUCUUGUAGGCGCUCAGGAACAGCACAUUCUUGGGAGGUUGUCGUAGAGAGAUAGACAAACAGCACUUCUAUCCUACGACCCAGUCAGUAUCUUAAGCACUUUGCGAUGUCCUAAGGCUCUUGUAGGCGUCCAGAAACAGCACAUUCUUGGGAGGUUGUCGUAGAGAGAGAGAUAGACAAACAGCACUUCUAUCCUACGACCCAGUCAGUAACUUAAGCACUGUGCGAUGUUUUGGGACUCUUGUAGGCGCCCAGGAAACAGCACAUUCUUGGGAGGUUGUCGUAGAGAGAGAGACAAACAGCACUUCUAUCCUACGACCCAGUCAGUAUCUUAAGCACUGUGCGAUGUCCUAAGGCUCUUGUAGGCGCUCAGAAACAGCACAUUCUUGGGAGGUUGUCGUAGAGAGAGAGAUAGACAAACAGCACUUCUAUCCUACGACCCAGUCAGUAUCUUAAGCACUGUGCGAUGUUUUGGGACUCUUGUAAGCGUCCAGAAACAGCACAUUCUUGGGAGGUUGU